GUGAAUCAUCAAAUUUUGAACGCAAAUUGCACUCUCUGGUAUUCCGGAGAGUAUGCCUGUUUGAGGGGCAGUUUAAAUAAAAAUCGGUGUGGUUGCUGCCUUUCGUAGUGACGCACCGGAUUUGGGUCGUCUUGCCUUCGGUUAAGUGACCUAAAAUUUUGCAUUAGUUUUUUUGAACGUAUUUAAAUGAUUUUACGUACGUUUGCGAUAUCGAAGACGAGGUUUUGUCCGCCUCAUGAGUCGCGCCUAUACU
This 253-nucleotide unclassified non-coding RNA is filed under the name Glomus sp. RNAcentral describes it as "partial contains 5.8S ribosomal RNA and internal transcribed spacer 2". The stretch from base 1 to 70 matches the Rfam family "5.8S ribosomal RNA", at positions 84 to 154 of the family's 154-position model. Lineage: Eukaryota; Fungi; Glomeromycota; Glomeromycetes; Glomerales; Glomeraceae. The record is from RNAcentral.